This 449-nucleotide ribosomal RNA is filed under the name uncultured bacterium. RNAcentral describes it as "bacterial SSU rRNA". It matches the Rfam family "Bacterial small subunit ribosomal RNA", at positions 329 to 795 of the family's 1533-position model. The record is from RNAcentral.
UCCCAGACUCCUACGGGAGGCAGCAGUGGGGGAUAUUGCACAAUGGGGGCAACCCUGAUGCAGCGACGCCGCGUGAGCGAUGGAGUACUUCGGUAUGUAAAGCUCUGUCAGCAGGGAAGAGAAUGACGGUACCUGACCAAGAAGCCCCGGCUAAAUACGUGCCAGCAGCCGCGGUAAUACGUAUGGGGCAAGCGUUAUCCGGAUUUACUGGGUGUAAAGGGAGCGUAGACGGCAGUGCAAGUCUGAAGUGAAAGGCGGGGGCCCAACCCCCGAACUGCUUUGGAAACUGUGCUGCUGGAGUGCAGGAGAGGCAAGUGGAAUUCCUAGUGUAGCGGUGAAAUGCGUAGAUAUUAGGAGGAACACCAGUGGCGAAGGCGGCUUGCUGGACGGUAACUGACGUUGAGGCUCGAAAGCGUGGGGAGCAAACAGGAUUAGAUACCCCCGUAGUC